GACGAACGCUGGCGGCGUGCUUAACACAUGCAAGUCGAACGCUGGAGCCCUUUCGGGGGUGGAUGAGUGGCGAACGGGUGAGUAACACGUGGGUAAUCUGCCCUGUACUUCGGGAUAAGCCUUGGAAACGGGGUCUAAUACCGGAUAGGACCUGUCCUCGCAUGGGGGUGGGUGGAAAGUUCCGGCGGUAUGGGAUGAGCCCGCGGCCUAUCAGCUUGUUGGUGGGGUAGUGGCCUACCAAGGCGACGACGGGUAGCCGGCCUGAGAGGGUGACCGGUCACACUGGGACUGAGACACGGCCCAGACUCCUACGGGAGGCAGCAGUGGGGAAUCUUGCGCAAUGGGCGAAAGCCUGACGCAGCAACGCCGCGUGGGGGAUGACGGCCUUCGGGUUGUAAACCUCUUUCGACAUCGACGAAGGGGCCCUGUUGUGGGGUUUUGACGGUAGGUGUAGAAGAAGCACCGGCUGACUACGUGCCAGCCGCCGCCGUAA
RNAcentral lists this ribosomal RNA (493 nucleotides) under uncultured bacterium. RNAcentral describes it as "partial 16S ribosomal RNA". It matches the Rfam family "Bacterial small subunit ribosomal RNA", at positions 28 to 523 of the family's 1533-position model. The record is from RNAcentral.